GUGUCAGCAGCCGCGGUAAUACGGAGGGUGCGAGCGUUGUUCGGAAUCACUGGGCGUAAAGCGCGUGUAGGCGGCUUCCUAAGUCUGGUGUGAAAUCCCGGGGCUCACCCCCGGAAGUGCACUGGAUACUGGGAAGCUCGAGUACCGGAGAGGAGGGUGGAAUUCCUGGUGUAGCGGUGAAAUGCGUAGAUAUCAGGAGGAACACCUGUGGCGAAGGCGGCCCUCUGGACGGAUACUGACGCUGAGACGCGAAAGCGUGGGGAGCAAACAGGAUUAGAAACCCUAGUAGUCC
This 292-nucleotide ribosomal RNA is filed under the name uncultured bacterium. RNAcentral's name for it is "partial 16S ribosomal RNA". It matches the Rfam family "Bacterial small subunit ribosomal RNA", at positions 505 to 796 of the family's 1533-position model. The record is from RNAcentral.